This 1737-nucleotide ribosomal RNA is filed under the name Salmonella enterica subsp. enterica. Its description in RNAcentral is "bacterial LSU rRNA". It matches the Rfam family "Bacterial large subunit ribosomal RNA", at positions 1223 to 2925 of the family's 2925-position model. Lineage: Bacteria; Pseudomonadati; Pseudomonadota; Gammaproteobacteria; Enterobacterales; Enterobacteriaceae. The record is from RNAcentral.
GUUGGGUAGGGGAGCGUUCUGUAAGCCUGUGAAGGUGGCCUGUGAGGGUUGCUGGAGGUAUCAGAAGUGCGAAUGCUGACAUAAGUAACGAUAAAGCGGGUGAAAAGCCCGCUCGCCGGAAGACCAAGGGUUCCUGUCCAACGUUAAUCGGGGCAGGGUGAGUCGACCCCUAAGGCGAGGCCGAAAGGCGUAGUCGAUGGGAAACGGGUUAAUAUUCCCGUACUUGGUGUUACUGCGAAGGGGGGACGGAGAAGGCUAUGUUGGCCGGGCGACGGUUGUCCCGGUUUAAGCGUGUAGGUGUGUGUUCCAGGUAAAUCCGGUUCACUUUAACACUGAGGCGUGAUGACGAGGCACUACGGUGCUGAAGCAACAAAUGCCCUGCUUCCAGGAAAAGCCUCUAAGCAUCAGGUAACAUCAAAUCGUACCCCAAACCGACACAGGUGGUCAGGUAGAGAAUACCAAGGCGCUUGAGAGAACUCGGGUGAAGGAACUAGGCAAAAUGGUGCCGUAACUUCGGGAGAAGGCACGCUGACACGUAGGUGAAGUGAUUUACUCACGGAGCUGAAGUCAGUCGAAGAUACCAGCUGGCUGCAACUGUUUAUUAAAAACACAGCACUGUGCAAACACGAAAGUGGACGUAUACGGUGUGACGCCUGCCCGGUGCCGGAAGGUUAAUUGAUGGGGUCAGCGCAAGCGAAGCUCCUGAUCGAAGCCCCGGUAAACGGCGGCCGUAACUAUAACGGUCCUAAGGUAGCGAAAUUCCUUGUCGGGUAAGUUCCGACCUGCACGAAUGGCGUAAUGAUGGCCAGGCUGUCUCCACCCGAGACUCAGUGAAAUUGAACUCGCUGUGAAGAUGCAGUGUACCCGCGGCAAGACGGAAAGACCCCGUGAACCUUUACUAUAGCUUGACACUGAACAUUGAGCCUUGAUGUGUAGGAUAGGUGGGAGGCUUUGAAGUGUGGACGCCAGUCUGCAUGGAGCCGACCUUGAAAUACCACCCUUUAAUGUUUGAUGUUCUAACGUGGACCCGUAAUCCGGGUUGCGGACAGUGUCUGGUGGGUAGUUUGACUGGGGCGGUCUCCUCCUAAAGAGUAACGGAGGAGCACGAAGGUUGGCUAAUCCUGGUCGGACAUCAGGAGGUUAGUGCAAUGGCAUAAGCCAGCUUGACUGCGAGCGUGACGGCGCGAGCAGGUGCGAAAGCAGGUCAUAGUGAUCCGGUGGUUCUGAAUGGAAGGGCCAUCGCUCAACGGAUAAAAGGUACUCCGGGGAUAACAGGCUGAUACCGCCCAAGAGUUCAUAUCGACGGCGGUGUUUGGCACCUCGAUGUCGGCUCAUCACAUCCUGGGGCUGAAGUAGGUCCCAAGGGUAUGGCUGUUCGCCAUUUAAAGUGGUACGCGAGCUGGGUUUAGAACGUCGUGAGACAGUUCGGUCCCUAUCUGCCGUGGGCGCUGGAGAACUGAGGGGGGCUGCUCCUAGUACGAGAGGACCGGAGUGGACGCAUCACUGGUGUUCGGGUUGUCAUGCCAAUGGCACUGCCCGGUAGCUAAAUGCGGAAGAGAUAAGUGCUGAAAGCAUCUAAGCACGAAACUUGCCCCGAGAUGAGUUCUCCCUGAGACUUAAAGUCUCCUGAAGGAACGUUGAAGACGACGACGUUGAUAGGCCGGGUGUGUAAGCGCAGCGAUGCGUUGAGCUAACCGGUACUAAUGAACCGUGAGGCUUAACCUUACAACGCCGAAG